This is a long non-coding RNA of Tympanuchus pallidicinctus (lesser prairie-chicken), 3280 nucleotides long. RefSeq lists it as uncharacterized. The transcript is spliced from 2 exons. The record is from RefSeq and is a predicted model, not a curated record. NCBI's taxonomy places the organism in Eukaryota, Metazoa, Chordata, Aves, Galliformes, Phasianidae.
CAGCCCAUUGUGUCCGCAUCCCGCCGCCAGGGGGCGUCCAAGCGUCCCUCAAGCCGAGGAGCGCGGCGGGGGCGGUGCGGUAGCGCAGCCCCGCCCCUUGGUGAAUAGCGCGCGCUACGCCGCUGGCGCACGGAGCUGCGCGCAUCAGUCCGGCUGUGUGGUUCGGUCUGACCCCCGUCGUCAGUGGCACUGCGUUUUCCUUUCUGAUCCUUUAAGGCCCUGCAAACGUGGGUGCUAGGAGUCACCUCAUAUCUAGUGCAGUCCCAGGGCCGUGAUCCUGUGUUUGGUGUCAGCAGGGCGUGCUGAGGCAUAGUCCCAUGUUGCUUGCUCUGUUGGUGCAAUAAUUGAGCUCCUAUCUUUGCACGGAACUUCUCAGCUUUUCUCAAGAAAGGAGAGCACUUGAUGUGUAUUUAUCUUGGAAGCUCUUUUUUUAUUUUUUUUGUGGAGUGUGUUUUCUGUUUGCCAGAAAUUCAAGCAGGGACAUGAAACCAGUUCUGAGCACUGGAGUAACUAUUGAAGCUUUAACAUCCAGCCACAACCAUUUCAGUUUUAGAUGAUAGUGUUUUGCUGGACAUACCUUCAAUUUGGUGGCUCAAGGAUUUGCAAACAAUGAGUCAUAACUCCCUGGGAUCGAAAUUGCAGCUGCUGGGGCACCAAGCAUUGAAAAGUGUGGUCCAAGAUAGAGCAAAGUAAACCUCACUGCCCACACACCCUUAUCCUUCAAGGCUGAGUAUCUUUGCAACACUCUUCAAAAACAUGCACACAAAAUUAUACGGUUGCUAUUGAUACAGAACUUACUUCUCCUUUUAGAGCAGAUAAGAGGGGAUUGCGAAAAUCUGUGAUUUGAAAGAACUGAAGCAGAUGGACCUGAGGCCAGUAUGCAGCACCCUGUGCUUGCAGGGAGGGGGCUGGAUUGUGAGAAAGGUGUUGUGCUAUGGUAUGUGGCCAAGCCCUUCUGCCCAAAGAGCCCCCAGGGCCUCUGCAGACCACGUCUGGCCCUUCACAUCCAGGACGGACCUGCAGAAAGCGUAUGGAGGUGGUUUGGUUCCAACUCAAGGAGAGCUUCCCCUCUUCGAAAUGCCUAUGGGACACUUUUUUGGCAUGGACUGACUGCUAAAGAAGCUGCCUGCAAGUCACCUGUACCAUAAAAUAUCCCACUUGCAGCGCUCACAUGGCAUCAGGGUUCUGUUGUGUGACACGUUCUGGGUACAACAACAGCAUGACACAGCCACCUUUGCCACAAAACCGCCUGGCUGCGGGGCUCACGCGGCUGGUCAGUGCAAGGGAGAGUGGCAGGAUACAACCUAUGGUCCUGCAGGCUGUUACAGGCCUGUCUGGCCUGGCCCUGUGGCUGCAAAUCCACUUAUGUCAUGAGCUGGGAGAUCUCAGACACACCAGACCUUCGCUCUCAUGGCUUCAGAACCUGGUAAGAACAGAACAAGCUGCUGUAACAAAAGCUUGAUUCCUGAAAGGUCUGUGCCAUUCCGUGCUGGCUGUGUGCACUGCUCUCUAUUUUUAUAGAAUUUCUAGGGUUUAAAACAUUAUUUACAAACGUCCCUAUUUAGAGGGACCUAGAUCUGACAAGGUUACUGACUCACUUCAGCCUCAGGGAAGUUACUUCACCCCUGGAUCAUCUUUUCCAUUUGAGUACUGAGACCAAUCAUGUAAAAUUACCCGGCAGACUGCCAGUGCAGCUGUAAAAAUUAAUUACCCAGUAUUUAGCACUGCGUAAGAAGUGGGAAGCUGCUGCUGUUGGAGAAUCUCUGUACCAGGGAGGCCAACUCAGAGACCCACAGGUUCUCAAGUGACCGUCACUAUUUGUGGGACGGCCUCUUGACAUGAAUGGAAUGUAGGCACCUUUCUGCUCCCUAGCCUGAAGUCUGAACUACAAAAACUUGCCUUUGUCCUGUGACACUUGAGUUUUCUGUUGGUUUUGGCUCCCACCAGUCCAGGCUCCAGGUCGCUGUGGUGGUGACAAAGCUGUGUGGUGGCUGUUUUACUUUGGCACUUUACAUUUUACAGAGGCAAAUGCUUCUCUCCGCUUGCCAUGCCACAGCCAGCAUAGGCACUCAGAUCUAAGAGAAUGUCCCUGUGAGUCUCAGGCCUCAACAGAUGCAUUUAGACCCUUUAUCAAUGCUUUGUUUUUAUGAUGUUCAGCCUCCAGCAGCUGCAUUUCAUCAGUGAGCAGAGAUGCCAGUAAUCCCUUGUGCUGUACCUAGCAUUCCCUGCACCUCGAGAAGCAUGGAUUAGAGAGAUCUGGCAUAAGAUAACAUGAUUGCAGUCGCUUCCUGUGGUUGGUAUCUGGUGAUCUAGUCUUGUCAAGAGCUGGAAUUUUACUUUCAUGUGUUGCUGCUGUAAGAUUUAGAAAUCAGCUAAGGACUGCAAAGGAGAAAGCAUCAGUAGAUUACCAGAGCAGUAUUUGUACUGCAGGCAGGGAUUAGAGAAGAGGGCAGGCGAAAGACUACAGCUGUGCUUUUGCCAGUGGAAAUGCUUAUGUGGUCAUGUAAGAGCAGAUUUCUAGUGAACAAAAUGCCAGAAGAAGCAGGGUGAAUCUGGUUUGGCUUGGAGUACAAAAAGGAGAUAUUGUGUGUUUGCUGCAGCUUAGUUCCUUUUUUAAAUUUUAUUUUAGCAAGUCCUAGCAUUAUAAUGAUAAUUUGAGGAAGCUGGCCUGGAAAGCAAAAGAUGGCAAUAGAAAAACAUUGCAAAGCUCCUGAGAGGAAGCUUCACACAUGGAUGACAGGACGGUCAGCUGGAGCUUUAUUUUUCCAGACUUUGGGUAACAAAGGCAACAAAGGAUCCCAGGGCUGUGACCAGCAAUGAGGAGGAGGGACUGCAGGACUCAGCCAACCUAACUGUCAUCUGUGCCAAAUUACAAGCACCCGGGCUACAUCACAAGGUGCUCCCUGCAGACAUUCAUUCUCCUGAAUGACAGCAUUCACGUGUUCUUCAAGGCAGCAGGACUUUGCCUCGUCAGCCUGAGCAAAUGCAGCAUUUCCACAGUGGACCAGAAACUCAUCACGGAUGGCUAUUGCAUGACACAGCUGCUGAUUGUGCCAAGAAAGCCAGUAACACAGGAACUCAGUGCAAGGCUAUCCUCUGUGUAACAAAAGCACUUAAUAGAUGGCGCCAGGAUCGCUCUGCCAUAGAGAGGGAAGGAGGAAAUCUCACCCACGGGCCUUGACUGCUUUUUGUAGUGUGUAAAAACAAAAAAAAAAUGCAAGUUUUAGGCAUGAGAGCAGGGGAACGCUCUGUAGCACAGCUCUCACGCCUGCUGCUAACA